RNAcentral lists this ribosomal RNA (441 nucleotides) under uncultured bacterium. RNAcentral describes it as "partial 16S ribosomal RNA". It matches the Rfam family "Bacterial small subunit ribosomal RNA", at positions 338 to 795 of the family's 1533-position model. The record is from RNAcentral.
CCUACGGGAGGCUGCAGUCGGGAAUAUUGCGCAAUGGAGGAAACUCUGACGCAGUGACGCCGCGUGCAGGAAGAAGGUUUUCGGAUUGUAAACUGCUUUAGACAGGGAAGAAAAAAGACAGUACCUGUAGUAUAAGCUCCGGCUAACUACGUGCCAGCAGCCGCGGUAAUACGUAGGGAGCAAGCGUUAUCCGGAUGUAUUGGGUGUAAAGGGUGCGUAGACGGAGAAGCAAGUUAGUUGUGAAAUCCCUCGGCUUAACUGAGGAACUGCAACUAAAACUACUGCCCUUGAGUACUGGGGAGGAAAGUGGAAUUCCUGGUGUAGCGGUGAAAUGCGUAGAUAUUAGGAAGAACACCAGUGGCGAAGGCGACUUGCUGGAGAGUAACUGACGUUGAGGCACGAAAGUGUGGGGAGCGAACAGGAUUAGAUACCCCAGUAGUC